GCCUCAGGUAGCGGCGAGUGAGCGGCAAAAGCUCAAUUUGAAAUCUGGCGUCUUUGGCGUCCGCAGUUGUAAUUUGAAGAAGGUAUCUUUGGGCCCGGCUCUUGUCUAUGUUCCUUGGAACAGGACGUCACAGAGGGUGAGAAUCCCGUGCGAUGAGAUGACCCGGGUCUGUGUAAAGUUCCUUCGACGAGUCGAGUUGUUUGGGAAUGCAGCUCUAAGUGGGUGGUAAAUUCCAUCUAAAGCUAAAUAUUGGCGAGAGACCGAUAGCGAACAAGUACAGUGAUGGAAAGAUGAAAAGAACUUUGAAAAGAGAGUGAAAAAGUACGUGAAAUUGUUGAAAGGGAAGGGCUUGAGAUCAGACUUGGUAUUUUGCAUGUUGCUCUCUCGGGGGCGGCCGCUGCGGUUUACCGGGCCAGCAUCGGUUUGGAGCGGCAGGAUAAUGGCGGAGGAAUGUGGCACGGCUUCUGCUGUGUGUUAUAGCCUCUGACGAUACUGC
RNAcentral lists this ribosomal RNA (496 nucleotides) under Candida albicans. Its description in RNAcentral is "eukaryotic LSU rRNA". It matches the Rfam family "Eukaryotic large subunit ribosomal RNA", at positions 77 to 549 of the family's 3401-position model. Lineage: Eukaryota; Fungi; Ascomycota; Pichiomycetes; Serinales; Debaryomycetaceae. The record is from RNAcentral.